GCUGGGAGUGCCGAAAGGUGGCCUUGUGGAUUAAGAAAUACAAUCUUAAAAAGCUGAAGCUGGAAUGUGAACCAGUAUUUCCAACUUUAAGCUGAAAUCAUCUGAAUUUAAAGAACACAUCGUGCCUGAACAUGCCAAGCUGAACAUGCUCAGAAUGUCCUUCCCACCUUGGCAGCCCCUGAAGCCCACCUCCUCCUGUUUGCCCUACUGGGAAAACCCCAGUCCUGGAUGACUCCAACAAUCAACCUUCCUGGCUCCAGCUCCCAGGCUGCAGAGAGCUGCUAGGGAAAACCACAGCAGAUGUACUGGCUGCAUUUCAACUACUUGGUCUCCAAAUUCAACCCGGUCCUCGAUGGUGCCCUAUAACACUACGGGUCACUGGCCCCAGCCCAAUGUAGCUCUCCGCACAUGAAAUUCUUCUUUCAAACCCCCAGACUCAUCAGUUCUCUUCUGCUCUCAGCAGGUGUUCCUACCUCUUGCUUCCUUAAGAAGCAUUUAAGGCCACCUUCAACUUCUGCCCUUUCUGUCCACACACUAGCCCCACAAAAUUCUACCUGUAGGUACAGCUAUCCUUUCCUUCUAGGCUCCUGCCUCGGAGGGAGAGGUGGACUGCCUGUUGUCCAAGGCUGAAUCUUCCUCCCUUCUGUUUUGGCUUUGGGAAAAGACAGACCUGAGUUCAGCCCCAGCUCUGCCACAAAACUAGCCACGUGGUUUAUGGCCACCAUGACUUGGCUCCCUGUGAUCAAGCUUUCCUGGGCUUUGUGGCAUUGCAGAGGACAGCACCUAUUCCCAGAAUGGGCAUUGUCACAUAAUCACAAUGUGACUGUUCAUUUUAAAAGUCACAUCCUUAUUAUAUGAUUAUGCAGCAAUAUGGUCCUGUUGUUAUGGGAACAUAUUAUUCCUGUAAUCCAAUUCUUAUAACUGUACAAAUAUUUGUGUUGGAGUUCCUGGGGGAGGGGGCUGGGAAUAGGGCAGUAGACAAAAAGCCUGAAAGGCACUCACACAAAGCUUCCCACCACUUGGCGGGACCCAAGACUGGACAGGCAGAAAACCACCCCUGCCAUCGCCCAAAGGCAUCCUUUGAAAGGGAGUUGGGAGAAGCUGAGAAGGCAUGCCACCUGCAUCCUCUGACCUAACGUCACCCGGUGUUCCUCACUGUGACCAGCCCCCUCGUCGCACUGCCAUGGACAGCAUUGCACAGAUGUGAGUGUGCCAGGUACUCACUCUGCCACCAGUGUUCAUCAACCCUCAAAUGCAGCAUUUCAAAGAAGCUUUCACUGUGUGAUCUCCAGCAAGCUGUUUCACCUUUCUGAGUUUGGUUGCCUCAUCUGCAGGAUGAGAAUGACGUGACCCUCUCCUCCCAGGGCAGUGGGAGGCAUGGAGGAGGGUAUGGAAUGUAGCCCUCCACAUGGCUCCUGGUGUGCGGGCAGCACACACGGAACAGUGCCUGCUGUUGCUCAUCUCAUUCCCUACCCACCCCAUCAGGAUGUGUGGCCUCUUCCAUCCCAUUAACUCCUCCUCCUCAACCUAUCAAUCCAUUCUAGUUUCUCAGCUCUGAAAUUAAAAUAAAACCAAAACCUCUCCUCACACCACAUCCAAUUCCCACCACCGUCUCCCUCUUCCUUUCUACAAUCACAUUUCUUGAGUAUUUCUUCCCUGACAAUGUCUACGCCUUUUUUUCCCGUUCAUACCUCAAAGCCCACUCAAGGCCAGCAGAGAUUCUCCUCAGAUUUACCAAGGAUGCCUGGGAAAGCCUAUUCUUAUAUGUACCUUAGCAGCACAAAUACAGAGGAAGCUGGCAGAAGACUGAGGGAUGUGUUGAAAGAAAGCAGCCCCAGUAGGGCUGAGACUAAGGUGUGGUGAGUGAGGCACCCAGGGUGCAAAGUUUCAGGAGGCGCUCACUCUCAGAGUUGUGCAAGAAUGAGCGCCUCCUCAAAUUCUGCAGCCAAGGCACCUAUUUGCCUUACCCUAGUCAUAGCCCUGCUUCUCAAAAUAAUCCAAAGUUUAGUUUAUUUCUAACACAAAAAGCAUACAAAAAAGGAUACCAUGCGGUCACUAAAAGGAAUGAAAUGGAUCCUUUCAUACAGCUUUUAUGCAGCUACUCCCUCUGGCCACUCGUUGCCAUAGGAACAGAGGCCCAGGGUCGCUGGAGGUUCUAACGUUUCAAGAGAAGUUGGAAAUGUUAAUUUUUAUGUGAAAGCUUAUGACUUU
RNAcentral lists this long non-coding RNA (2211 nucleotides) under Homo sapiens (human). RNAcentral's name for it is "HSALNT0097716". The record is from RNAcentral. Lineage: Eukaryota; Metazoa; Chordata; Mammalia; Primates; Hominidae.